RNAcentral lists this ribosomal RNA (836 nucleotides) under Deltaproteobacteria bacterium. RNAcentral's name for it is "partial 23S ribosomal RNA". It matches the Rfam family "Bacterial large subunit ribosomal RNA", at positions 1 to 777 of the family's 2925-position model. Lineage: Bacteria; Pseudomonadati; Myxococcota; Myxococcia. The record is from RNAcentral.
GGUCAAGCUACAAAGGGCGAACGGUGGAUGCCUUGGUGCCAGAAGGCGAUGAAAGACGUGGAUAGCUGCGAUAAGCCUCGGGGAGCCGCUAAACAGGCUUAGAUCCGGGGAUUUCUGAAUGGGGCAACCCGUCCGGAGUCAUGUUCGGACAUCUCCGGCUGAAUCUAUAGGCCGGCGAAGCUAACGGGGGGAACUGAAACAUCUCAGUACCCUCAGGAAAAGAAAGCAACCGCGAUUCCCAAAGUAGUGGCGAGCGAAAUGGGAAGAGCCCAAACCUAAGAUAUGUUCAAGCCCGCAGGCGUUGUAUCUUGGGGGUUGUGGGGCGUUGUUGGAGGGGGCUGCGGCUCUCUCGGGAAGUUACUAAUUCAGUUUUUAACCGAAGGGCCUGGGAAGGCCUACCGCAGAAGGUGAAAGUCCUGUAGGUGAAAAGAACUGAACUUCCUGGGCAGCGUUCCCGAGUACCACGGGACACGGGAAAUCCUGUGGGAAGCUGGAAGGACCAUCUUCCAAGGCUAAAUACAAACUGGCGACCGAUAGUGAACAAGUACCGUGAGGGAAAGGUGAAAAGUACUCCGGUGAGGAGAGUGAAAUAGUACCUGAAACCGUUUGCCUACAAGCGGUAGGAGCUCCAUAUCCCGCCUCGGCGGGAUGGAGUGACUGCGUGCCUUUUGUAUAAUGAGUCAGCGAGUUAUUCUAUGCAGCAAGGUUAAGCCGUAAGGUGGAGCCGAAGCGAAAGCGAGUCUGAAUAGGGCGUUGAGUUGCAUGGAAUAGACCCGAAGCCAAGUGAUCUACCCAUGGCCAGGGUGAAAUUUCGGUAACACGAAAUGGAGGCCCGA